Molecule: ribosomal RNA, 500 nt
Filed under: uncultured bacterium
Lineage: Bacteria
Description: bacterial SSU rRNA
Rfam family: Bacterial small subunit ribosomal RNA
Source: RNAcentral
GAUGAACGCUAGCUACAGGCUUAACACAUGCAAGUCGAACGAAGCGCAUUGUUUGAAUUCUUCGGAAGGAAGAUAAUGUGACUGAGUGGCGGACGGGUGAGUAACGCGUGGGUAACCUGCCAUGUACAGGGGGACAACAGUUGGAAACGGCUGCUAAUACCGCAUAAGCGCACGAGAUUGCAUGAUCUAGUGUGAAAAACUCCGGUGGUAUAUGAUGGACCCGCGUCUGAUUAGCUAGUUGGUAAGGUAACGGCUUACCAAGGCGACGAUCAGUAGCCGACCUGAGAGGGUGACCGGCCACAUUGGGACUGAGACACGGCCCAGACUCCUACGGGAGGCAGCAGUGGGGAAUAUUGCACAAUGGGCGAAAGCCUGAUGCAGCGACGCCGCGUGAACGAAGAAGUAUUUCGGUAUGUAAAGUUCUAUCAGCAGGGAAGAAGAAAUGACGGUACCUGACUAAGAAGCCCCGGCUAACUACGUGCCAGCCGCCGCAGUAAAAC